UUAAUUGAAGCCAAAGAGGAGGCACCUCAAUGUUAAUGAGGGGGAUGAUUUUUAUUAAUCCAAUUAAG
This 68-nucleotide transfer RNA is filed under the name Nesophrosyne ponapona. Its description in RNAcentral is "tRNA-Asn". Lineage: Eukaryota; Metazoa; Arthropoda; Insecta; Hemiptera; Cicadellidae. The record is from RNAcentral.